This 29-nucleotide ribosomal RNA is filed under the name Tolypocladium inflatum. Its description in RNAcentral is "partial 18S ribosomal RNA". Lineage: Eukaryota; Fungi; Ascomycota; Sordariomycetes; Hypocreales; Ophiocordycipitaceae. The record is from RNAcentral. RNAcentral also lists the same sequence under 1 other name.
UCUCCGUUGGUGAACCAGCGGAGGGAUCA